Molecule: ribosomal RNA, 465 nt
Filed under: Vreelandella stevensii
Lineage: Bacteria; Pseudomonadati; Pseudomonadota; Gammaproteobacteria; Oceanospirillales; Halomonadaceae
Description: partial 16S ribosomal RNA
Rfam family: Bacterial small subunit ribosomal RNA
Source: RNAcentral
CCUACGGGCGGCAGCAGUGGGGAAUAUUGGACAAUGGGGGCAACCCUGAUCCAGCCGUGCCGCGUGUGUGAAGAAGGCCCUCGGGUUGUAAAGCACUUUCAGUGAGGAAGAACGCCUGGUGGUUAAUACCCAUCAGGAAAGACAUCACUCACAGAAGAAGCACCGGCUAACUCCGUGCCAGCAGCCGCGGUAAUACGGAGGGUGCGAGCGUUAAUCGGAAUUACUGGGCGUAAAGCGCGCGUAGGUGGCUUGAUAAGCCGGUUGUGAAAGCCCCGGGCUCAACCUGGGAACGGCAUCCGGAACUGUCAAGCUAGAGUGCAGGAGAGGAAGGUAGAAUUCCCGGUGUAGCGGUGAAAUGCGUAGAGAUCGGGAGGAAUACCAGUGGCGAAGGCGGCCUUCUGGACUGACACUGACACUGAGGUGCGAAAGCGUGGGUAGCAAACAGGAUUAGAUACCCUAGUAGUC